UGGCAGUGGUCUUUUCACUGAGCGUUUGUGUCUGGAGCGUUCACUAGCUUCUACCACUCUCUCUCUCUCUCUCUCGCUCUUAUUGUUGCUCAGGGUGGAGGUUGAAACUGGAUUUAACUGACUCCUAAAGGAAAAAAAACAUUGAACGGAUGGCUGAAGUCGUGGAGUAGUGGAUGAACCUGCAAAUUCAACAUGGAAUUGAUUAUUUCCCACAUAGAGAUUUUUUGCGGGCAACAGAAUUGGCCUAGUCUGCACCCUAAGCCUGACUCCAUAUUGCCGCCAGGUGUAGGCUGACUCUGGUAUGGACAUCGAACUGGUCAGCACCACAGACAGACUUCCUCCACCGGUACGCUACUUUCCUAUGCCCUUUUUUCUUCUGUCCAUUCUUUUAGUUCUUUUUCAGUCAUAACUUUUUCUGAACGUUUUUUAACCUGCAUCUUGUUUACUAUCGCGUUGACGUUUCUUUUUAGUUUAAAAGUCGUGAAAGCUGUCCGUAUUGCUGUAAAAAUAGUCUCCGUAUCCACAGUUGUCCACAUUCCGUUAUGCUCCAUAAGCAAACAUUUUUGUUUCUUUUUUUUUAUUAAUUUUUUUUUUUUAGUAACAAAUAGUAGACCACUUUAGGCUAAGGUCAUAUCCAAAAUAAAUGUAGGUCAAUUGCGGUCAAACAUUUAACAUGACUUAAAAAAAGUAAUAAUAAUAAUUUCGCUGGUUCGGUUGUUGUCAGAUAUUUGUGUACACAAACUCUUUGACAAGUCUCAAUUCAUUUGUUUCCAGUGGUUAGAAAUCAGCAAGAAAAUAACAGCAACGGCUUCUGAGUGGUCGCACGAUGCCAUGGAAACACAUUUGAAAUGUGAGACUGUGUACUGGAUGUAUGCUCAGGAUUCGAUUCACUAACAACUUAUUUCUUUCUCUCUGGCAUUUCUCAUAAUACAAUACAGUGUGUCUCCCUGUAGAAAUAGGUCAGUAUAUAAAGCAGAUAUCUUUAACAUUUACUCCAUUGUUCUGGAAUAACCUUUGAUUUCCUUAGGGAGUGGCACUGUACCAUGAAUCAUGGCAUUUCUAAUUGCAGCUUGUUGCACCUACAACUUGUAGUGCAGACUGGGAAAGCCCUUGAUGCAGUCUGUGAUUUCUUAUUUCUGUAUAUUAAAUGGCAGUAAUGGGUAAACGAAAAAAUACACUUAAUGUGCGUAAUGUAUAUUUAACUAAAACAAACUAAAACAGUUGAAAAUGUUAGGUUUAUUACUGCAAAAAAAACAAAAAAACAGUUUAGUAUUUCUAUACUUGCGCUUAAGUUGCAUAAACAAGAAAUGUGUGUAGAUAUAAAAAAUAAAUAAAGCGUUUCUGCUAAUGCUGCUUUCUCAAAUGUCAGUCACUGCAGCAUAUUUGAUCCAACAGUAGCGGUGUUGUCUGAUCUGGGCACGGCAAACACCACCUGUGUCUUUCAAACUGACCUUCACUCUGAAGGAUGUUUUAAACGGUAGUGAUUCGAAAUACAAGGAAUUUAUGGUGAAAAUUGUUGGUGGGAGCUCCCAUUUUAGUCACGUCUCUAAUUAGUUAUCAAACAAUAUACACACAAGUCAUUUUUGUUGAACCACACCCAAUAAUUCUGCAUCAAAUUAUUUGAUUAAUUACUUGAGUUGCAGCGAUAUUUGGGAAUUUGUUGAAUUUGUUGACUUGUGUAAUCAAUAAGACUUAUGUUAGCAAUAUUCUUUGCUCAUUAAAGUAAAUUUACAAAUUUAUUUUUUUCUGAUAUUUAUUUUUCAGAUUUUGUUCUUACCCCAUAAAUUCCACUGUCACAUAUAUUUUACUUGCUUAUGUUGUUGUACACUUGUGGAAAGGUACAUGGGUAAUUUUCAUAGUUUCAAUGUUCAGCAGCUGUUGUAAUUAUGCUUUACAUAUUUAAAAAAAAAAGCCAUUCGUUUUACAGGAUCAAUACUUUCUCUGUUUAUUCCUAACCUUAUCUUCUAUCUAUCCUUUUCAUGAAUUUCAGGUGACAUACAUAAUGAUCUUCUUCCUCUGUAUUACCUGGCGAGGCCAUUAUGUUUUUUCAAAAAAAUACUUAACUUCCAAUCAUGGUCGUCUAUGGCUGUCUUUUGUUUUAAACUGAUUCGUCAAAGUGUGUUGAAAUUGGUACAAGAAAAACAACAGUCAUAAGAAUUAGUUUUUGUUGCAGUGGAUAUUAUUUUUGGUGUCCUGUGAAAGGUGGAGUGGGUCUAGCUGUGACGCAGUGCAGUGAUGCCAGCUGCCACAAACCCGUAGAUCCGAACUUGUGGUGACUCUGUGCACAAGCUCGUGUCUAUAGGUAUGUGUCUGCGAGGUGAAUGCAACAGUCUUCCCUGCCACCACUGCUGUUGACUAGAAACUUCUGCUCAGGGUUGACACUUUAGCUGUAAAAUUAUCAACCAUUAGGAUAUUUUAGGUGGUUGCAUGAAUGUUAGCAUCUAUUUAUUAGCAUGAAUUGAUUGCACCUAUUUUCAACAUUGAGUUUUGCUACUUGCAUAUGCACAAACGUAAGCAGCGGGGACAUUCUCCUAUCCUCCCCCCCUCAAGUUUUACAGCGAUGUCUCGGGAUGAGGUAGUAGGUUGUAUAGUUUAGAGUUACAACAUGGGAGAUAACUGUACAGCCUCCUAGCUUUCCCCGAGCAGACGCCCUUGUGCUACAGUGCUAAUGCUAAUGCAACUAGCAUUGCAACUAACAUGCUCCCCUGACGUGCAAAAAGCAGUACAACGGUGAUUGUAAAUGUUAUAUGUGGAGUAUGAUGGUCUUUGUUGAUGUAAAGGAGUUUGACAGAAUGUCAGCAUUUUGAAUUUGAAAUUUCUUUAGGCAAGUGUUUACAACAAAUAACACUGAGGAGGAACUAUAAACUAUAAAGUUUUAAACGCUCUAAUUCUAUGAGAAUUGGGAAGUCUGCGCCACAACUAUAAUGAUUACAACACAAUAUCGAAAUCGUUGUAAACACUUUCAGAAUGAUUUUCAGCUAAUGAAAGAUAAAAACGUGACAGCCAAUCAGAAUCCAGCAGACUUUAACGAACUGGAUCAUUUACAGAGGAAGACGGCAUAACUGCCACAUGCGCUUAUAAUAAAACAGUAUGUUAUCAUCUGUUGGUGUGAACACUAAUAUAGUUCUUGGUGAGAACAGGCUUUUAGCCAGUAGAGUCUAGUUUCAGUAGAACCUGUAUGUACAUAAUUUAACCAUUCCUUUAAAUCACUCUCUAUUUAAAGCUUUAUCCCAUAGCUGUGAUUAUUUUUAUUUGGUGAAUCUGCUAGCACCCUGCAAGCCUAGAAUGAAAGUGGUUGCAUUUAAUGAAAACAGCAUUGUGUCCCCACGGAGAAUAGAAAUGUUACAUUUCUAUCAAAUGACCACACAUUCAUUGUAACAAUGUGUUUAACAUGGUAUCCUACAGUGUUCUGCACCACAAACAAGUUUUAAAAUACACAUGGAAACUGUGAAAGCCUUAUGUUCUUUACCAUUUCCUUCUGGAUUUUAUUUGACCAUCAUUCAUAUGAAAACACAUUUAUAACUGAGAAAUGGCUUCUUCUUUUUUCUUUUUCUUCUCUCGCUUAAGUGCUAAUAAAAAAAUAUAUAUAUAAAUGAGAUUAGGUACAAAUUCUGCCAUAAAGGUAACAGUAGUAGAUGAGUAUUAGUUAUCUAUUUACCUUUCUACCUGCUUGUAUGUAUUUUAUUACAAGUUUGCUUAGUUUUAUCAGAAUGCAUACCAAAGAGCUUCGAGAGUCGUAAUGCUAUACUAUGGAGACAUUAGGCUGUUGCAAUAGCUAUUUUAGGGCAAAUAUUUGGUGUUGUGUAUUCAUGCAUAUGUGGCUAUUUCAAAAAGAUGUCAAAACAUGGAAAAUAUAUUGUGGUGACCUGAAAAGAUGGUAAAAGCAAAUUUAAACUAGUAAUUGGUACCACCAAUUUGUAGGAGGCAGCAUCUGCAGUUCAGCUGCAGUCACUGCGUCAGACAAAAUAUUUGAGCGCAUGGCAGCCUAUAUGCAGAUAUUUUCGAAUGACACUCCAAUCUUGUGCAUGUUGUGUUGUUCCAGUCAAUGUCUUUGUGCCGUGCUUUCAGUUUGUGUGUGCCGUGGUGAGGUUUGACACAGGUGUGUGUGCUUGCUUAGGUGUGGUUAUUGUAUUUGACAGUGGUGUUUUUGGUUGUUUAGUGUAAAUUUCUGCUUGAUUGAGUGGUACACGUGCAAGCAUGUCUGUGUGCAUGGAAAUCGAGCAGUGGCUGUGUUUAUUUUCGUGCCAAUUUUCGUCAAUCCCAAUGAAUUGAAUCCGAUUGCAUAUCUGUUAACAUGUACUCUAAAUAUUGUAAUCUGAUUAAAAUAUCCAUUUAUAUGUGUUUAUAUACAUUCCGAUUAAAACUUUUGCACACACGCUCUGCGUCUGAUGUCAUAUCAAUCACACUUGCGGAGACAACCUUGGACGUGA
Long non-coding RNA from Megalobrama amblycephala (Wuchang bream), 4430 nucleotides. RefSeq lists it as uncharacterized. NCBI's taxonomy places the organism in Eukaryota, Metazoa, Chordata, Actinopteri, Cypriniformes, Xenocyprididae. The record is from RefSeq and is a predicted model, not a curated record. The transcript is spliced from 4 exons.